AUCACUUCCGUUCAGUAGCGGAAGCAGGAAGUAGCGCAAACAACAUGGGGACUGGGAUUGACAAGAAGCCGGCGAUUUCUUUACCCAAACACUCCUACUGGUUCGACUUUUGGGUUUUUCUGUUGUUCGACAUCGGCUUUUUUCUCUUCGUGUACUUUGUUAUUCCAUAAACGAAAUCCGGGUGUUACGGAAGGACCAGAGAGUGUAGCUCACCUGCACGAGAUGAAGAGAUGAUGGAUUUCUCAUGGCUGGGUCCUGCAGCUGUGGCUUCAGCCGAUCUCCUCCUGCACACCCGUCACCCGAACACUGAAAGUGCACCACCACGUCCCCGCCGAGUCCAAGUCUCCUCGAGUCCAACCCUCACAGAGUCCAACGCACUUUAAAACAUAGCGCUAACAUUCCAGUCCAGGCCCUGAUCCCUCGUACAGAACCCCGAUUAACACGAAAUAAAACCGGCGAAGCGAUUUUUGUAUAUUCGACCCGGUAAUAAUCAGAAUAUCUGCGUGUGUGUGUGUGUGUGAAUGAGAAGUAAAUAAAAUUCACUAGGCUAUUUUUCAA
Long non-coding RNA from Ictalurus punctatus (channel catfish), 558 nucleotides. RefSeq lists it as uncharacterized. NCBI's taxonomy places the organism in Eukaryota, Metazoa, Chordata, Actinopteri, Siluriformes, Ictaluridae. The record is from RefSeq and is a predicted model, not a curated record. The transcript is spliced from 3 exons.